UAGCUGCCCUCAUGCCUAGCCCUCUUCUCGCUGCCCCCUUGGGCCUCGCGACGAAGAUGCUCCAUAGUACUAGCAUGGUCAACUACGUCUAAAAAAGAUCGACCCGCAGAAACUAAGGACUGGGUCUCAAGCCGAAGCUGCAAUCUCAACCCACGAACAAAGCACCUAACUCGCUCCUCCUCUGUAGGUAAUAUCAUCUCAGCAUAACGGGAGAGCUCGUGGAACCUAGUCUCGUACUCUGCCACCGACAUGGAGCCCUGCUCCAACCUGCAAAACUGAUCCCUGAGGCGGUCUCUGACGCUACGAG
Molecule: long non-coding RNA, 307 nt
Filed under: Solanum tuberosum (potato)
Lineage: Eukaryota; Viridiplantae; Streptophyta; Magnoliopsida; Solanales; Solanaceae
Description: long non-coding RNA (STUB_LNC005719)
Source: RNAcentral